RNAcentral lists this ribosomal RNA (460 nucleotides) under uncultured bacterium. RNAcentral's name for it is "partial 16S ribosomal RNA". It matches the Rfam family "Bacterial small subunit ribosomal RNA", at positions 338 to 795 of the family's 1533-position model. The record is from RNAcentral.
CCUACGGGAGGCAGCAGUGAGGAAUAUUGGUCAAUGGGCGCGAGCCUGAACCAGCCAAGUAGCGUGAAGGAUGACUGCCCUACGGGUUGUAAACUUCUUUUAUAAAGGAAUAAAGUUAGGCACGUGUGCCUUUUCGCAUGUACUUUAUGAAUAAGGAUCGGCUAACUUCGUGCCAGCAGCCGCGGUAAUACGGAGGAUCCGAGCGUUAUCCGGAUUUAUUGGGUUUAAAGGGAGCGUAGAUGGGUUGUUAAGUUAGUUGUGAAAGUUUGCGGCUCAACCGUAAAAUUGCAAUUGAUACUGGCAACCUUGAGUACAGUUGAGGUAGGCGGAAUUCGUGGUGUAGCGGUGAAAUGCUUAGAUAUCACGAGGAACUCCGAUUGCGAAGGCAGCCUACUAAACUGCCACUGACAUUGAUGCUCGAAAGUGUGGGUAUCAAACAGGAUUAGAUACCCUGGUAGUC